This 1343-nucleotide ribosomal RNA is filed under the name uncultured bacterium. RNAcentral's name for it is "bacterial SSU rRNA". It matches the Rfam family "Bacterial small subunit ribosomal RNA", at positions 29 to 1382 of the family's 1533-position model. The record is from RNAcentral.
AGGAACGCUGGCGGCUUGCUUAACACAUGCAAGUCGAACGAUGAAGCCCAGCUUGGUGGGAGGAUUGGUGGCGAAGGGGUGAAUAACACGUGAGCCACCUGCCCCUGACUCUGGGAUAAGCGCUGGAAACGGUGUCUAAUACUGGAUAUGUCCCAUCCCCGCAGGGUGUGUGGGUGGAAAGAUUUUUCGGUUGGAGAUGGUCUCGCGCCCUAUCAUCUUGUUGGAGAGGUAAGGGCUUACCAGGGCCUCCACGGGUACCCGGUCUGAGAGGGUGACCGGCCACUCUGGCACUGACACACGGCCCACACUCCUACGGGAGGCAGCAGUGGGGAAUAUUGCACAAUGGGCGGAACCCUGAUGCAACCACCCCGCGUGAGGGAUGACGGCCUUCGGGUUGUAAACCUCUUUUAGCGGGGAAAAAUCUUUUGUGACGGUCCCUGCAAAAAAAGCACCGGCUAACUACGUGCCAGCAGCCGCGGUUAUACGUAGGGUGCAAGCGUUAUCCGGAAUUAUUGGGCGUAAAGAUCUCGUACGCUGUUUGUCGCGUCUGUCGUGAAAUCCUCGCGCUCAACCUGAGGCCUGCGGUGGGUACGGGCAGACUUGAGUGCGCUAGGGGAGAUAUGAAUUCCUGGUGUAGCGGGGGAGUGCGCAGAUAUCAGGAGGAACACCGAUGGGGAAGGCAGAUCUCUGGGCCGUAACAGACGCUGAGGAGAGAAAGGGUGGGGAGCACACAGGCUUAGAUACCCUGGUAGUCCACCCCCGUAAACGUUGGGAAAUAGUUGUGGGGUCCUUUCCACGGAUUCCGUGACGCAGCUAACGCAUUAAGUUCCCCGCCUGGGGAGUACGGCCGCAAGGCUAAAACUCAAAGGAAUUGACGGGGACCCGCACAAGAGGCGGAGCGUGUGGAUUAUUUUGAUGCAACGCGAAGAACCUUUCCAAGGCUUGACAUAUUUGAGAACACCCCGGAAACAGGGGACUCUUUGGACACUCGUUUACAGGUGGUGCAUGGUGGUGGUCAGCUCGUGUCUUGAGAUGUUGGGUUAAGUCCCGCAACGAGCGCAACCCUCUUUUUAUGUUGCCAGCACGUUAUGGUGGGAAAUCAUGGGAUACAGCCGGGGUCAACUCGGAGGAAGGUGGGGAUGACGUCAAAUCAUCAUGCCCCCUAUGUCUUGGGCUUCACGCAUGCUACAAUGGCCGGUACAAUGGGCUGCGAUACCGUGAGGUGGAGCGAAUCCCAAAAAACCGGUCCCAGUUCGGAUUGUAGUAUUCAACUAGACUACAUGAAGUCGGAGUCGCUAGUAAUCGCAGAUCAGUAACGAUGCGGGAAUACGUUCCCGGGUCUG